GUACUUCCUUUGGCUGCACAUAUACUAAAAUUGGAACAAUAAAGAACAGAUUAGCAUGGCCCCUGCACAAGGAUGACACACAAAUUGAUGAAGUGUUCUAUAUAUUU
Molecule: small nuclear RNA, 107 nt
Organism: Perognathus longimembris pacificus (Pacific pocket mouse)
Lineage: Eukaryota; Metazoa; Chordata; Mammalia; Rodentia; Heteromyidae
Source: RefSeq, a predicted model, not a curated record